Molecule: ribosomal RNA, 464 nt
Filed under: uncultured Klebsiella sp.
Lineage: Bacteria; Pseudomonadati; Pseudomonadota; Gammaproteobacteria; Enterobacterales; Enterobacteriaceae
Description: bacterial SSU rRNA
Rfam family: Bacterial small subunit ribosomal RNA
Source: RNAcentral
CCUACGGCGGCUGCAGUGGGGAAUAUUGCACAAUGGGCGCAAGCCUGAUGCAGCCAUGCCGCGUGUGUGAAGAAGGCCUUCGGGUUGUAAAGCACUUUCAGCGGGGAGGAAGGCGUUAAGGUUAAUAACCUUGUCGAUUGACGUUACCCGCAGAAGAAGCACCGGCUAACUCCGUGCCAGCAGCCGCGGUAAUACGGAGGGUGCAAGCGUUAAUCGGAAUUACUGGGCGUAAAGCACACGCAGGCGGUCUGUCAAGUCGGAUGUGAAAUCCCCGGGCUCAACCUAGGAACUGCAUUCGAAACUGGCAGGCUAGAGUCUUGUAGAGGGGGGUAGAAUUCCAGGUGUAGCGGUGAAAUGCGUAGAGAUCUGGAGGAAUACCGGUGGCGAAGGCGGCCCCCUGGACAAAGACUGACGCUCAGGUGCGAAAGCGUGGGGAGCAAACAGGAUUAGAUACCCUAGUAGUC